UUUUUUUUUUUUGGUAUAGCAGGACAUGAACCUGCGACCCAGAACGGGAUUUUUCCACUUCACACCCACACAAUCGGGAUUUGGGGUUCGAGAUGUGGCACAUUUUCUGCCAAGUUCCCACUUACCAAAACUUGGCAAACCAUUGUCGAGUGAUCAUCAACACCACAAUCACCAUAUAUAUACAUCACAUGUAUUCCAUAUGUAGAAGUAACAUAACAAGGAGCAUAGAAAGUUCACAAGCAUCAUAUUAGUCACAUAAAGGAAAUUCAUAAGUAGUUCGCCGACAAAACCUCUCGACGCGGAAGAGCAUCUCUGUGGACAUGAGCUCCAGGGUUGUUGCGGGUGAUGAGGGGUAUGCUUCGUCAUAGCCUCCAUAUUUUGUGAGAGCAUCUGCAAUUUCUUUUGUUACCAUUGUACCAAAGAAUUUCAUCGGACAAUGGAGCCCAGCCGAGGCACGUCUACCACCAUCUCCACCGCCGCUGCAUUAUCGUCGCCAUCCACCACCUGCGCUAUUUUCUGCAUUGGCGUCAGCAUCCACCAUCUUGUCGUCAUCCAAAAUGAUGGUUGUGGGCGCCACCGCCUCCACUGCAUCAGCCGCGGGCCCGAACAAGAGACCGAUGCUUGGCACACUAAGAUGUUGUCCGAGAUCGUCCGACUCGUCCUCCUCCAUCACCCACAAGAGGAAAUCGACGGGAACCACACUGACACCAUCGAUAGGGAAAAUGCACUGCCGCUGCGGACCUCACGGCUCGCGACGAGAUUGUUGACAUUGGUGAACUGCGAUGAUAUCUCCAUCAUCUUGGCGAAGUUGAGGUGGUCACUGCACGCGCACCUCAGGAUUAGGGUCGCCCAUCUCGACCCGACGAGGAGGAUCCACAAUAGAGUCGGCAACGGCGGUUGCGGCCGCUGGAGCGGUGGAACGGGCGACUGAGGCACAGCCGUGGACGCUGCCGAGGUAGGGGCGAUGGCAUGGUGGAUGGUGUGUGUGUGUGGCGGGGGGGGCAUAGGUGGCAGCAGCGCGGUGCAGAUGGUGACUGAUACGUCUAAAAUGUAUCUAUAAUUUUAAUUGUUUCAUGUUAUUAUAUUAUCAUUUCUUAUACUUUUUUAAAAAAUAUACUAUUUUGAUGGACUGAUCUAUUAAUUCAGUGACCAGUGCUAGUACCUAUUUUGUUUUUGUUUUUGGCUUCGCAUGAAAUAAAUAUCUACGAAGGUCAAAAUAAGUUGCCGAUUUAACACGAUUCUUUUUGGCACAAGAAACACUAUAAGACUCGGGGGAGAUCGAGACGAGCAGCCAGGGGCCACACGGCCAGGUGGCAUGACCAAGGGGUAGGCUGAGCUCCUGAUACGUCUCCGUUGUAUCUACUUUUCCAAACACUUGUGCCCUUAUUUUGGACUCUAACUUGCAUGAUUUGAAUGGAACUAACCCGGACUGACGCUGUUUUCAGCAGAAUUGCCAUGGUGUUAUUUAUGUGCAGAAACAAAAGUUCUCGAAAUGACCUGAAACUCCACGGAACUUAUUUUUGGAAAAUAUUAAAAAUACUGGAAGAAGAAUCCACGUCAGGGGGGCCUCCACCUGUCCACAAGGGUAGGGGCGCGCAUGCCCCCCUGGGCGCGCCCCCUGCCUCGUGGGCCCCCUGUUGCUCCACCGACCUCAACUCCAACUCCAUAUAUUCGUGUUCGGGGAGAAAAAAAUCAGAGAGAAGGAUUCAUCGCGUUUUACGAUACGGAGCCGCUGCCAAGCCCUAAACUCUCUCGGGAGGGCUGAUCUGGAGUCCGUUCGGGGCUCCGGAGAGGGGAAUCUGUCGCCGUCGUUAUCAUCAACCAUCCUCCAUCACCAAUUUCAUGAUGCUCACCGCCGUGCGUGAGUAAUUCCAUCGUAGGCUUGCUGGACGGUGAUGGGUUGGAUGAGAUUUAUCAUGUAAUCGAGUUAGUUUUGUUAGGUUUUGAUCCCUAGUAUCCACUAUGUUCUGAGAUUGAUGUUGCUAUGACUUUGCUAUGCUUAAUGCUUGUCACUAGGGCCCGAGUGCCAUGAUUUCAGAUCUGAACCUAUUAUGUUUUCAUGAAUAUAUGUGAGUUCUUGAUCCUAUCUUGCAAGUCUAUAGUCACCUACUAUGUGUUACGAUCCGGCAACCCCGAAGUGACAAUAAUCGGGACCACUCCCGGUGAUGACCGUAGUUUGAGGAGUUCAUGUAUUCACUAUGUGUUAAUGCUUUGUUCCGGUACUCUAUUAAAAGGAGGCCUUAAUAUCCCUUAGUUUCCAUUAGGACCCCGCUACCACGGGAGGGUAGGACAAAAGAUGUCAUGCAAGUUCUUUUCCAUAAGCACGUAUGACUAUAUUCGGAAUACAUGCCUACAUUACAUUGAUGAAUUGGAGCUAGUUCUGUGUCACCCUAUAUUAUGACUGUUACAUGAUGAACCGCAUCCGGCAUAAUUCUCCAUCACCGAUCCAAUGCCUAUGAGCUUUUCACAUAUUAUUCUCCGCUUAUUUACUUUUCCGUUGCUACUGUUACAAUCACUACAAAACCCAAAAAUAUUACUUUUGCUACCGUUACCGUUACUUCCAUAUUAUUUUGCUACUAAAUACUUUGCUGCAGAUACUAAGUUAUCCAGGUGUGGCUGAAUUGACACUCAGUUGCUAAUACUUGAGAAUAUUCUUUGGCUCCCCUUGUGUCGAAUCAAUAAAUUUGGGUUGAAUACUCUACCCUCGAAAACUGUUGUGAUCCCCUAUACUUGUGGGUUAUCAUCUCCCUGCCGUGUGAGGCCCCUACUUACCGCCUUGACCUGAUUCCACCACCGUAAAUCCAUAUAAAUGUUGAACUAUUCGUCGUACCUCUAGAAUAAUUUUAUCGCCGUCGCAAGCCAUUAUUCCACAAAGAGGUCUUUUUCGGAGCUCCGUCGGAGGGGAAAGUCAUUGUCGGAGUAUGUCGGAUCACGGGUUCCGGAAAAACCCUUAAGGUUCGAACUCUGGGGUGCGCGCGAAGUUCUCCUCCUACCGAUCCAUGUCCUAGCUUGCUAAGAUCUCGAGGGUUAACUCCACGAACUCACGACACAAGAGACACAAGAUUUAUAUUGGUUCGGGCCACCGUUGUGGUGUAAUACCCUACUCCAGUGUGGUGGUGGUGGAUUGCCUCUUGGGCUAUGAUGACCAGUACAAGGGGAAGAACAGCCUCCUGAGGUUGAGGUGUUCUUGUGCUUGGUGUGCGGCUAAGGCUCAGCUAUAGAUCAGAUGCCCCCUACGGUGGUGGCUAGUCCUACUUAUAUAGGCCCUGGUUCUCUCCCCAAAUAUUGAGCGGGAAGGGAGCCAACAACUGCCAAUUUGAAAGGGGACAGCUAGUACAGCUUAUCCUGACAAAAGCGGUCUUCGCCUGCAAAAGGCUCUGGUGCUGACGCCGCCUUGGGCUCCAUGGUGACCUCCGUUUUGCCGUCCUGCUGGUCUUGGUCUCGUUGCACCGAUAUGGAAACCUUUGCAUGACGCCUCGGUACUCCGCGCCUGCGCUUGCUUCCUUAGCACCAAAGGGGAAACAAGGACACUGCGCGCGCUGGCGCCCGCCUGAUCUCGAUCGUCAUGGCUCACCUCACGAGAACCUCGCGAGGUUUGCCUUGCCUUGAUCUCUCCGCCCCUCGCGAGCCAACCUGGUGAGGCCGCUCCUGAGGCGGUCUUGUGUCAUCCGCCUCGCGAGGCUUGGUCCCUCGCGAGGUCUUGAAUGCUUGUUCGUGAAGAUGGGUCGUACGGGCCCACACACAGAGCCACGCCGUGGGCCGCAGGCAGGCAAGUCUGGGGACCCCCGUUCCCAGAACACCGACAGUAGCCCCCGGGCCCAAGGCGUGCUCGGGCUUGGCUUCGAGGCGAAGCCAAAGGCCAAGUGCGGAGCGCCGCGGGCCACAAAAGCCUGCAGACUUGGUCGACGCGUGGCGGUUGACUGGACGUGGGCUUCUCCGCUUCCCCACGCUGCCUCGGCAACUGCCCGACUUGACAAGUCCCUGCGACAUGCAAGGGAAAACCAUCAUUACCUGUGAUCGUGGGAGGCGCCGGUUGGCCUUCUCCCGCUACAAAUGGGGAGGGGGGCAGAGCCCCCGUCGCCCAUCUCUUCCCAGUCGCUUGCUUCUUCCUCCUUGCUCUACUGCUAGUAGCAAUUCCCAUGGCGCCGAUCCGAAGGUUCUCCGCCGAGGAGAAAGGAAAGGCUCCCUGUGACAAGCCAGGGCCGCUUCCACCUGAGAAGAGGCCAGUCCACCGUCGCGACAUUGUCGUGAGGGCGGAAGUGACGAGGCCCUGGUGAGAACGGCCACCUCCAGGGUAUCCGCUGCCCUUAUAUGCCCAAGCCGAGGGCUCAGGAGGAAGGAGCGACGAGCGGCGCCGCCCGCGCCGCGACCGCGGCCGCCACGCCAUGGCGGCACGCGCCGUCGCCCCUGGAAUCCACGCUGCGGACUCCUCUCGCGAGCUCGUGCUGUGGGCGGCGAUGCCCCCAAGCACUUGGAUCCGCUUCCCACGGUUUUUCUCUGACGUGAUGCCGCCGAGGGGACCCCUCGAGCUCUGGUUGCAGCAUGCUGACUGCGACGCCCCGGCGAUCGGAGCAGAGGUUGAAGUGGUCUCCUCCGGCAAGAUCUUCAUGACCCGCGGCAGGGGUGAGGUUGCGCGGGUUUGCCGUGCUAAGGGCGCCCUCGCGAUCUACUUUGAUUAUGAUGGCGCCUCCACGCUGUCCUUCAAGGUCUUCGAUGCGGAGGGCCGCCACCUGGAGUGCUGCCCUGGAGGGGAGCGCCAGGAUGACGCGCGUCCGGUCUGCGGCUCCUCCAGUAGCAGUGACUCUUGGGCGUCCAGUGGUUCUCCUGAGCUCUACGAGACUCCGGAGACGAGCGACGACAGCUACGUGCCCCCGAGCUCUCGCCGCGCCCGGAGCAGGGCUACAGCGUCCAGACGCCGCUGUCGCUGAUCUGUAUGGGGUUGGCGCCGGCCUCCCGUGGCCCACUGUUGAUGACGGCGUCGGCCGCGGGAGGGUGUAGAUAGGAUUCCCCUAAGUUCUCGUCUUUUGUUCCCAGCGAGGAAUCAAGAAAUACCCCGUGGGGGCGUGUAAAGGUUCUGUAAUGUCUUUUGUUGAUACUAUCCUUGUUAUGAAAAAUUGCGAAUGCAUGUUCUGUUUAGGCUCGGUCUCCCCUUUCCAACCUCGCGACGGCUCGUUGCUCUACGCUGACAGGUCCCGGUCCCCAGGCAAGCUGCAGCCGUCGCUGGUAUGCCAGGUCGCGUGCCGUGGUUAAGGCGAGGAGGUGAGCGGCCCGAGGUCCAGUAAGAGCCCCUGAGGCGUGAUGCUCAGGAGGUCUCCUUUAGCGCUCAAGCAGCCGUGAUAAAGGUAAGAAAGGGAGGCGACGUUGCCGCAACAGGGCUGCGGCGAGCGUGACCCCUAGGCUCCAAUGAUUAGCCGAUCUGAGCGCGAGACUUAUCUUGGCGGUCUGGGGUCGAUUCCUUGCAAUGCGCCGUGUUAAUGCGUAGCUAGGCCAGGUCCAUGCGAGCCUCCCCCUCUUCCCCACGCUCUCCUUUAUGCUCUGCGUCCUCAGGUCCCGGCCCUCGAGCGAGCUCAGCCGCCGCUGGUAUGCCAGGUCGUGUGCCGUGGUCAAGGCCGGGGGGUGAGGGCUGGAGAGCCAGUAGGAGCUCCUGAGUCACGAUGCUUAGGAGCCCCUCUUUUAACGUGCAAGCGGAUUGCAUGGGGGAAGAGGGAGCUCGUGGUGCCGCCUACUGUCAUUCUCAUGAGUUUCCUGCAAGCCAGCACAAGGAUAAACACAGUUUGCCAUUAUAGUUGCCAGUCCGCCGCCGGUUGCUUCGCGAGGAGACGAAGGCACUAAGGGCCUGGUGAGGUGACGUGCGCGGGGCGUGCCGCGAGCCAGAGCUCGACCGCUCAGAUUUGUCGAUGUUGCAGGGACGGACCCGUGCACAAGCAUCGUGCCAGCGUGAGCAGCCCCCGUGGGAGGUGAGAGUCAAACAGGUGAUCGUCAUAGAUAGACUAAGCAUGGGAAGCUUACUGGCUUAAGUAAAUGCAGGGAAGAUACACGCCACUGGGUCAGGCCCGAGCGGCUUGGGGAUGAUACAGCCCGAGGGGCGCCCCCAGCAAGAUAAGCUAAAGACAUAAGAAAAAGGGGUACUGAAAGUGCUAGUUAUCGACUAGAGGGGGUGAAUAGGCGAUUUUUAUGAACGUCUUCAAAACAUGGGAGUUUCAAAGACAAACAAUAGAAAUGAACCUAUUGACAUGUAGCGGAAGGUAGACUACACUAGGCAAGCCAUAGUGAAGUAUUCAAUGAAGUGAAAGCAUGAAGACUAAUAGCAGCUAGGUAGUAACGAUCAGGAUGGAAGAUAGUAUGAAGCCAAACAACAAUAGAAGCCACACAGUGAAGUCAAACAGGUAACACGGGCAGGCAAUGACUUCAUGAAGACAAAUUGUAAAUAAAGAGAGGGAGAAGAUAGAACCAGUCACUUGAUGAAGACAAGGAUUUGUUGGACCAGUUCCAGUUGCUGUGACAAUUGUACGUCUGGUUAGGGAGGCUGAGAUUUAACUCAGAAGACCGUGUCUUCACCUUAUUCCCCUUGAGCUAAGGACACCCAGUCCUCGCCCAAUCACUCUGGUAAGUCUUCAAGGUAGACUUCCAAACCUUCAUAGACUUCGUUCACCGGCGAUCCACAAUGACUCUUGGAUGCUCAGAACGCGACGCCUAACUGGCUGGAGGAUUCACAGUCCUCAAGUGUAACAAGUCUUCAGGUCACGCGGACAGAAAGACUUCAGUGAUGCCUAACACUCUUUGGCUCUGGGUGUUUGGGCUUUGUCCUCGCAAGGAUUUCUCUCUCUCAGAAGCUUCGGAGGUGGGUUGCUCUCAAACGACAAAAGUCGUGCACUAACUUUGAGCAGCCACGAAUUUAUGGUGUAGGGGGUGGGCUAUUUAUAGCCACUAGGCAACCCGACCUGAUUUGUCCGAAAUGACCCUCGGUCACUAAGGAACUGACACAUGUUCCAACGGUCAGAUUUCAAACACACGCGGCAGCUUGACUUGGGCUACAAGUAAAGCUGACUCAUCCAGCUGUGGAUAAGAUUUGCUCUCAUUGUCUUCACUCGAAGACAUAGGAUUUGGUUGAGCAUCACUUUAGUCACUCUGACUUUGUUCACUUGGACCCCACUUAACAGUAUGGUGGUUCCUAUGACUCAACAAAGAAGAAAAUGAAACUACGAAACAACUAUGUCUUCGUGCUCCAAAGUCUUCAUGCGAUGUCUUCUCAUGUCAUAGUCUUCAAUGUGAAUAUCGUCACAUACCACCAUUGUCUUCAUACAUUUUUAGGGGUCAUCUCCGGUAGGUAAACCGAAUCAAUGAGGGACUACUACCUGUGUUAUCCUGCAAUUCUCACAAACACAUUAGUCCCUCAACCAGGUUUGUCGUCAAUACUCCAAAACCAACUAGGGGUGUCACUAGAUGCACUUACAAUCUCCCCCUUUUUGGUGAUUGAUGACAAACUGGUUGAAGUUUUCAACGGGGAUAAAAGUAUGUGAAAUUGUAAAGGAUUAAGAUAUUGUCUUCAUAAGUAGCAAAAGGCUCCCCCUGAAGAUGUGCAUAUAAGUAAUUUGCUUUUGGAAUGCAAAUGCACAUGGCAGGUUGUACUUGUGGAGAUCCUCUUCAACUUAUGAAGGCAAUUCAUCAUGCAUGAUUAGAUAUAACAAAUAUAAUGACAUGCAUAAUGAAAAAUGGACGUCUGCAAUAUGACUUCAUGCGGGAUUUAUCAUCGCACAUGCGGAAUUUAUCAUCGCAACACAGAAUAGCAAACAAGUAGCAGACGACCAUCAAGUUUAAGUGUUACAACUCAAAGAACCAAAUGUAUCAAAACUGAGAGUUGUAAACACUUGGCAAAAUAUAAAGCAACCACCCAUAUUGACCCGCUUGAAGACUAUCAACCCAUAUGCUUCUACCCCUUUUGUCAGUAAGGACCAAAAAGGUUUGAAGACAUAGAGCCUCUACUCGUUCCCAUGAGGAGUAGGCGGUGAAGCUGCAGGGUCGUCGUUGAGGUUAGGUGGUGCAGAAGAACUUGGUGCAGUGUCGAUACGCGCCGAAGUUGGAGGUGGUGAGGUAGCAUCAUCUUGGUCAUCAAUGACUCUGGCAUUGACUGUGACAGCUGAGGAGGAAUAGUCAGAGUCUUCAAGAGAGGGAGUCCGACGCAAGACAGCAUUCCUUGGAGGAGUGGUGUCAAACUUGAAUCUUUCAUUGAAACCAUAGUCUUGAAGAUCAGCUUUAGCACUGAGCAAAGUCAAACUCUUCCAAGACCUCCGACAGGUUUCAUGAGUGACAAAUGCAUUCUUGGUGGCAAGGUUGCGAAUGCGAUUGACGUCCACCAAGAGGCUUUGCAUCUGUCGCUUUAGCCAGUAGGGACGCUUAUCCUGUUUUUGAUGCAGAGCGACGAGAAGCUCUUGGUCAUUGAGAACACGAGGUCGCUUCCGAGGCCUUUGUGCAAUUGUGCUUUCAGUGGCUUCAGUAUGAGCACGGUGUGGUGCACGUGUAUUGCCAGCCAAAGGAUAAACACGAGUGGCAGCCAGAACUCCUUCAAUGGGCUGUGUGAAGCUUUGGUGAUCAGCAUUAUGAAGAUAAAUUGGCUCCUUGGCAGGAUCUGGGUAGAUGGCUUCAACAUACAUAUCAUCCUCUGGCAAGAAUAUCAAAUGGUUGCGAGUAGAAGGCUGAUAGUUGACAGCAGAAUGAAGCUUGAUAAGGCGCAUAACCCAAGGAGCAUAGAACUUCAGACCAAAGAGGUCAGAGCCAAAUGCAGCCAAUUGCCUGAUGAAGAUGUCUUGAGCAUUGAAGCUGAUGCCAUUGAAGAUAUAAAAGACCAAUGUCUUCAUCGCUCCUUCAAGCUUCGCUGCAGAAGAAUGUCCUUUGAUGGGCCAUAGAGUUCGCCUUAUGAUAUGAUAGAUCGUGCGGGGCAGAUACUCUAGGUCUUCAACAAAGAAUUCUCUUGGAUAUUCAGCGUCGCGUGGCAGAGGCUUCAUCAUGCUCAGCAUUUGGCUCAUGUUGGGCUCUGGCUUCUGAAAGAUGCUCUCCAAUGCAUUGCGGUGAAGCUGACAACCAGGCUCGAAAAGUUCACCUGGAGCGGGCAGGCCAGUGAGCUCAAUGAUAUCAAGAGCUUUCGCUUCGUGAUGUACGUUGCCUGUCAUCCACUCAAGGAUCCAUGUCUUCGGAUCCCUGUUGUAGCCGCGAAUGUGGAGGGUAGCAUAGAAUUGUAGCAGAAGCUCUUCAUUCCAAUGCUCUUUAUCAGUUACAAAGUUCAGAAGACCAGCAUCACGGAAGAAUUCAAGGGCUUCUUCUAAGCAGGGCAGUCCAGCAAUAGCUUCACAGUCAAGGCGCAUAUGUGGAAAGAUGCGUCCUUGAUCAUAGAGAACACAGGAAUAGUAACUGCGCUGCUGAUAGCUCCAGAACCGAUCAGAUGAAAUUCUUGGCUUGGAGUAGGGGUUCUUGGCACUAUCAAAUAAAGUGUUGUGCGCAAUGAAGCCAUUUGCAUUGAAGGACCCUGGUGAAGUUGCAGUACCUGGAAACCUUGGCAGUCUUGGCUUAGGCUUCUGGACCUGAGGCCUGUGCUCUACAUGAUAGUCAAAUUGCGGACCAGUAGCAGGUGGAGGAACCAGAAUGGGCCAUCUGACAGUAACCAGCUGACCAUGAUCAAAUGCUUGCUCGAUGGUGUGUGGCCUUGGAGGCGGUACAGGAGUAGUGGCAGGAGCAGUGGCAUUGACUUCAGGCUGCAGAUUUGCUUCAGGUGCAGCAUUGGCUUCAGGUGCAACUACUUCUGGCACCACAUUAACUUCAGGCGCCACAUUAGCUUCAGCCAUGACAACGUCAUUGGCUUCAGUAUUGGUGUUGGUGGUUGCCUCAGUGUUGUCAGCCUCCACUUGAGUAGCUGGAGGGUCGGGCAUGUUCUCCUCGAGAACAACUUCAGGGUUGGAAGGGGGUGUAGCAACACGUUCAUCUUCUGCUCUUGGUUCUUCUUGUUCAUCGGCUGAUGCAGCCGGAAUGUCUUCAGCCGCUUUGGCUUCAGACUCUGAGAUGUUCGCAGUUUGAGAGACUUCAGGAAACACUUGUCGUGAGACAGAGUGGUGGAGCUCUUCUCCUUCUGGAACACUCGAAAGAGUGACUUGUGGCCUUGGUCCUUUGUGAAGCCUGCGAAACGCUGGCGACGCUUGUGGAGAUGGAGUAGGCUGGGCCUCAAAGUCAUCGUCAUCAAGCACCGGAGUGGUGACUUGAGUUGGGGGAGUACGUGGUGAUUCUUCUUGACGGGGGGAGUCUUGAGGGUGAUCAGCCCAUGAAUUAUCCUGAGCAAUUGGCGUCAAAGGACGACCAAUGCUGAUGAGUUCGCUGUUCGUGAGAACAGGCGAUGAUACCACAUUGUGCUCGAUCUAAGGAAGGACAUCAUCAUCUUCUACAUUGUCUUGGUGACGAAUGCCUUCAGCUGCGGUGGGGUCAACAGCUGGAAUCUCUUCAGUUUCAGGAGCCUCUGUGGUAGCAGGCUCAUGAACUAUCAACUGACGCUCUUAGUGUUCUAACGCAGGACGAGCAACUGAGAUCGGCUCGACGACAAGGGGCUCUGUGGGAGCAGCCCGAUGUUUCUUCUCUUCUUGGUUGGUGGAGCCUCAUCAGUGGUGUUCUUGGUCUUGCGCUUUCUGGCUUUGGCUUCAGCUGCCCUUGUUUUCUUGAGCUCCGAAGCCACUAUGGGGACCUUAGGCUUCACGCCUGUCAUACUGGCGGGGAAGACAAUGCGAGGUUCUUCCCGCCUGGAUGCUUCAGCUUGGUCCACAGCAGGCUUCUGCUUCUUGGCAGCCAUCUUGGGGUCGAUGGCAGGACGCCCAAGUGCCUUGCGCUUCUCAGUUUCAUUGUAGGCUUGAACACAUUUGGCAGCCAGGUGUUUCAUGCGCUCUCGAGAACCUUUAGCUUCGUCACGUUUCUUGUGAAACGCCUCCUUGAGCUCAUGCAUCAUUUGCUUGAAAUUCUGAACAUCAGUCACACUGAGCUUAGCCAUAUGCUUCUUGAACUGAGCCUUUUCAUAGUCAAUCUUGUGCUUCAGUUCAACAAUUUUCUGAGCUAGAGCCAGCUCAGGAGCAAUGGCUCCAUGGAAGGAGAUGCUAAGGCCAAUGGGGAGCUGAAGAUCAUCAAAGCUGAGGUUUGGGCUAUCGAACCACUCAUCAAUGAACUUGUUCAGGACUUCCACAUCGAAGAGGGGAAGAUCAUUGAAGAUUUCCGCCUCUUGCUUGCUCUUUAUUAGCAGCUCAGGAGCAUCAUCGCCAAGAUCGUCGUUACUAGACAGAUCAAUGGCUUCGCUCUCAUUUCUCAGAACGGCAGCUGGGGUCAGUGCUUGACCAGCAGUUUGCAUGGGCUUCUUCUUCUUCUCAGACUUGGAGAUGCGUGAGAGAUCUUCAGAAUUCACACUUGGUGCAGGAGGAGCAGUGGCUAGAGGCUUCGCUUGUGAAGCUCUUAGUGCAGUGGAGGGCUUUGAAGCUUUGGGUUUCUUUAGCUUCUUAGGCUUCGGUGGUGCAGGCGCUUCGUCAGAAUCAGCGUCUUCGGCAGAGUGAUCCACGGCAGCCCCUUGAACCAUAAUAUGAGUGAUGAGACCUUCAAGGUUGUAGAAGGGCCCAACAAUAUUGGGUUCAGCAUCACGGGUGCCAUCAGCACGAGGAGCAGAGGGACCGGGGUUGAAGUCUAAUCCUCGCGACUUCUUGUUCUCUUUGGCCGAGUUCUUGGCAAACUGGUAGUUGCGCUUGAACAGAUUGUCUUCACGACACCACAGCAGAGAAGAUGGGUCGGCAUCAGCAGGCUAUGGUCCACGGACCAUGCAAGGGUAGAAACCUUGAUCAAUGGCUUCAGUUCUGGACCUGGGUGGAAGAUUUUUGUACAAGAUGUCUCCCCAGGGUCGCUUGAUGGCAUUCUUCUCAGCAUAUUCCUGGGUCACGAACCUGUACUUGUACCAUUGCUCAGCCCAAUAUCUUCAAAUCCAUUGGAUUCGUGUUUUGCGCUGAUUGUAAUCCUCUUCUGGAUCUGUCUUGUACAGCUCAUAGAGGUCAGGUGGCAAAUCUCUUGAUGUCCCCCCAUGGAGAUGCCUGCCGCCCUUCCUAGCAGACUUAUCUGUGGCCAUGUAGUUCAGACUGAAUGGCUUCAAACUGUCAAAGGCUUCCGUCUGCUGGUCAGAUAGGAACUAGCUUCGGGAGAGUUGAUAUGAUGUUGUAAGAAUUCUGCAAAUGAAUGCAGACUAUGAGAAUCAAGGGAUUCUCCCACGGAUAUGUACCUGUGACAGCAUUAGAGAUGCAAGGGAAGGGGAAGAGGUCAUAUGCAUUCUCAGAAGAUUUUGAAGAUAAAUCAGUUUAGAAGACAUUGACCUCAUAGCGCGAAGACAUUCACUUAUAUGUUGAGAGUUGGUUCCAGAUUUGUACGAAUCCAAGAAUAGGUACAAGUGAGGAAUCUAACUACGUAUGAAGCAUAAGUGAAUAUACUAGGCAUAAUAUGAGAUGCAGAACAGGAUAGAUCCAAAUUUGUGGAGGCAGAAACCACUUUUGGUAGGAAGGAUGAAUCUAUUGGAUCAAAAAGACAGUAAAAAGAGAGUUUUAAUUUACCACACGAUGAAGUGCUAGACGGAGUAGAAGAGGAGGCCGAGCAGUUCAAUCUUCUGUGCCCUAACUUGGCGACGGAAGACACCUACGGCGGCGGCAGAGAAGGCGAUGUCCGCGGCCGGCGUGAGGACGACGUUGGAGAUGUCACGGAAGCUAAGCGCUUCGUCGCCGGCGUCGUCGAGAGCUAGCGGUGGCGCUAGGGUUUGUCGAGGUGGAGAGGUGGAAGAAAUAUUUUGACCGCGAUGUGAUGUGCAUUUAUAGGGAGAGGGACAGCACAGCGCAAUUACGCAGGUGCCCCUGGCGGUUCACAUCUGAGGGACACAUGGCGAACAUGCAACACACUGGAAGUUGUUCCAUGUUCCCACGCACGCCUGGACUGUCGGGUGGUCGUUCCGGCUUCUCCAGGUUUCAGGCAAUAAGGAUUGAGCAUUUAAAAUAGAUUUAAUGUUUGUCUCUGUAUCUUCUCCUAACAAGGACGCAGAGAAGACAUUCGACAGUUUCAAUCGAAUGCAUAUGAUUUGGAUAGAUAGAGUUUGAGGAAGAAGCAUAGAGAAGUUAGGGUCCGAUCACAUUCACUUAGUCCAAAAGAUUCAAAUGAGAAGACAUAGCUAUAAGUGAAUGUUGUAGAGGACAAAACACAAGUAUAUGUAUAUGUGAGUAAAACUAAAUCAACAGGGUGAAAAUCAUCAGGAAGACAAAUCAAUGUUGAAGAUAAAACAAAUGCGAAGACUUAGCAAAUGUAAUGCCAGGAGAAACACUUCAAACAAAGAUUUGGUGGUGGCGUUACCCACCGUAUAGGAAGUAUUAGACCCAGAGACGGCACACAAUUAUCGUGGCGCUCCGAAGUCAAUUUCCGCAUUAAUAUAUUCACACUCAGAGUGUAAGUCUUCAUUGAUUGAAGAUAUACAAUACUUCAUGUGUUGCACAUCUAAGUCGUCAACAUGCAUAAGUGUUAGGAUGUGUGCCUAAUCACAAGACAUUCGAGGAUUCCAAGAUAUUUAGCUCACACCGCAACUUGCAAAACCUUUUCUCAUCCAAGGGCUUUGUGAAGAUAUCUGUCAGUUGCUCUUCAGUGUUGACAUGAAUGAUACCAAUAUCUUCCUUCAUGACAUGAUCUCUGAGAAAGUGAUGACGAAUUUCAAUGUGAUUUGUCUUCGAGUGCUGAACUGGGUUGUUGGCAAUCUUGAUGGCGCUUUCGUUGUCGCAGUAGAGUGGUACUUGCUUCAGAUUGAUGCCAUUCUGCUGAGGUGUAUAUGGAGCGGAGAACUCAUGAGCGAUGCCCAAUGUAUCCAGGUAAAGGUCGAGGCCGGUGUUCUUGAACUCUGUGCCAUUGUCACUUCUGAUAUGCUUGAUCUUGACGCCAUAGUUAUUCAUGGCACGGUUGGCGAAGCGUCCGAAGACAUCCUGCACUUCAGUCUUGUAGAGGAUUAUGUGCACCCGAGUAUAUCUUGAAUAAUCAUCAACGAUGACUAAACCAUAGAGACAAGCAGUAGUAGUGAGAGUAGAGUAGUGAGUAGGGCCGAAUAAGUCCAUGUGUAGCAGCUCGAAGGGUUGAGAUGUCGUCAUGAUUGUCUUCGAGGGAUGCUUGGCCCUUGUCAUCUUUCCAGCUUCGCAGGCACCGCAUAAGUGAUCCUUCUUGAACUUGACGCCCUCGAUGCCUAUGACAUGCUUCUUCUUUGCGAGAGUGUGCAAGUUCCUCAUGCCAGCAUGCCCUAGCCUCCGAUGCCAGAGCCAGCACUCUGAAGCUUUUGCUAGAAGACAUACGGCAAGCUGUGGUCCUGCUGAGAAAUCUACCAUGUACAAAUCAUCUUUUCGAUACCCUUCAAAGACUAGAGACUUGCCAGAUUCCAUUAGUACAAGGCAACGAUAUUUUCCAAAUAUCACAAUCAUGUUCAAGUCACAAAGCAUUGAGACAGACAUUAAGUUGAAACCAAGGGAUUCAACAAGUAUCACUUUAUCCAUGUGCUGAUCCUUUGAGAUUGCAACUCUACCUAGACCCAAUACCUUGCUUUUACCAGUGUCAGCAAAUGUGAUGUGACUCUUGUCAGAUGGACGUAAGGUUGAGUCCAUGAGAAGACUUCGAUCAGCAGUCAUAUGAUUAGUGCAUCCGCUGUCCAUAAUCCAUUCUGAAGCAUGAUGUGUCAUACCCUACAGUACAGUUAGGGGGAUAGGCUUCACCAAGAGUAUUGUGAAGCAUAAACAUUUGACGGACAAGAGGAUUAUCAAAGCUCAGAUCAAGGUUAGGACUGAUAGGAUGAUUGGCAAGCGAUUCAGGAACAAUAUACAUAGUAAGACCAUUUGGGCAUUUUAUCUUGCGCCCUACAAGAUGUUUUAGGUCCCCAGCAAUAGCAUCAGACGCCUUUGAUUUCCGGCUGGAGACCUUUCCCUGCAAAAAAAGUUAAUUCUUCUUAACCACCCACAUCUUUAGGGGUGGCUUAGAAGCAAUGAGUCUAAGUGCAGCAUCUGAGAACUUCGGCUUUGGAGCCCUAGCAAAUAGCCUUGCAGGAGGAGAAUAAUACUCAUAUGAAUAAGCAGAAAAGUUCUUUGUCUUAUGAACAUAGCGCUUUGAAGAACCACGCUCAUAUUCAUACAUCUGAGUAUGAUUUCCCUGCAAAACAUUGGUGUUAGGGUGACUCAGGUGAGUCCCGUGUCUGUAUGAAGCCUUUGGACCAUAUGAAGCCUUUGGUCUGGGAUUUAUCUUCUUCCCAGGCGGUGUCAUGAUGACAUUGACAGGAAGAGUCUCAAGACAACUUUUGGGAACCCAAAUCUUCUUCAUAGGUGGCCCAUUCCUAUAGUUAGUACCAAUAUACCUGGCAAACACUUCACCAUUCUGAUUCUUAAACAGUUUAUAGUUUGCAUCAAAGGAUUCAUCAAUGAUAAUAGGGUUAGCACAAGUGAAGCCAGAUAAGGUGGAUGGAUCCACUAAAGGUCCCUUUGCAGCAACCCAUGUGGUUUUGGGGUACUGCUCAGGCUUCCAGUAAGAACCAUCAACAUUCAUUUUCCUCUCGAACCCAACACCCUCUUUCCUAGGGUUUCGGUUCAGAAUCUGCUUUUUGAGGACAUCGCACAGUGUCUGAUGCCCUUUGAGACUUUUGUACAUCCCUGUUUCAAUCAAUGUCUUCAACCUAGCAUUUUCAUCAGCAAUAGUAGUGGUAUCCUCAGCAGAGGGGUUAGUUACCACAUCAACAAUUGAAGAUAUUGCAACAGUAGCAGCAGUAGAACAUUCAACAACAGAAGUAGCGUUAUCACGCUCAAGGCAUUUUAGACAUGGUGGUUCAAAUCCUUCCUGAGCGGGACUGAUCUGUUGAGCACAAAGUGACUCAUUCUCCUUUUGAAGAUCUUCAUGAGCCGCUCUCAAUUUCUCAAGUUCUUGCUUCCUUUGAAGAUAAUCAUAGGAAAGCUUUUCAUGAGUCGUUGAGAGCGUUUCAUGACGACUUUCAAGUUCCUGGUACUUAACAUGAAGAUUUUUUAUGUCUUCAAUUAAGGACUAAGAUCGAGUCAUUUCUGCGUCCAACAGGUCAUCGCUUUUGUCUAACAGUUUUUGAGUAUGUUCCAUAGCUUUCUGUUGUUCAGUUGCAAUUUUAGCAAGUGUUUUGUAGCUGGGUUUGGAUUCACAAUCAGAGUCAUCUUCACUUGAUGUUUGAAAGUAAGCAUCGCGUGAUUUUACCUUGGCACCACGUGCCAUGAAGCAGUAGGUGGGAGCAGAUUCGUCCUUGUCAUUAGCAUCAGCGUUGGUGAUGGGGCUAUUGUCUUCAGUGUUGAAUAUGGACUUGGCAACAUAGGUUGUAGCUAGAGCCAGACAUGCAACGCCAGAGUCGGACUCCUCCUCAGACUCCACCUCCGCCUCCUCAGAAGCAGACUCCUCCUCUGAAUCCAUCUCCUUGCCAACAAAAGCACGAGCCUUGCCAGAUGAGCUCUUCUUGUGUGAUGAAGACUUGGACGAAGACUUGGAAGAAGACUUUGAGGAUUUCUUCUUCUUCUUGUCAUCAGAAUCAUAUUCCUUGCUCUUCUUGUUGUUGUUCUCAUUGUCCCACUAUGGACACUCAGAGAUGUAGUGUCCAGGUUUCUUGCACUUGUGACAUGUUCUCUUCUUGUAAUCAUGAGUGGAAGCUUCAUCAUUUCUUGAGCUGGAUCGUGAAGACUUUCUGAAGCCCUUCUUCUUAGUGAACUUCUGGAACUUCUUCACAAGCAUAGCAAGCUCCUUUCCAAUGUCUUCAGGAUCACCAGAACUGCAGUCAGAUUCUUCUUUAGAUGAGGAAACAGCUUUUGCCUUCAAAGCGCGAGUUCGGACAUAGUUUGGACCAUAGAUAUCUCUUUUCUCAGAUAGCUGGAACUCAUGUGUGUUGAGCCUCUCAAGUAUGUCAGACGGAUCGAGUGUCUUGAAGUCAGGGCGUUCUUGUAUCAUCAGGGCAAGGGUGUCGAACGAGCUGUCAAGUGAUCUCAGGAGUGUCUUGACGAUUUCAUGCUUGGUGAUUUCAGUGGCACCGAGAGCCCGAAGCUCAUUUGUGAUGUCAGUGAGGCGAUCAAACAUGAGCUGGACAUUCUCAUUGUCGUUUCUCUUGAAGCGGUUGAAGAGGUUGCGAAGAACAAUGAUCCUGAGAUCUCUCUGGGUUGAGACGCCUUCGUUGACCUUGGAGAGCCAGUCCCAGACUAGCUUCGACGUUUCCAGAGCACUCACACGGCCAUACUGUCCUUUGGUCAGAUGACCACAGAUGAUGUUCUUGGCAGUAGAAUCCAGUUGAAUGAACUUCUUGACAUCAGCAGGAGUGACACCUUCACCAGUCUUGGGAACACCAUUCUUGACGACAUACCAGAGGUCGACAUCAAUGGCUUCAAGAUGCAUGCGCAUCUUAUUCUUCCAGUAGGGAUAUUCAGUUCCAUCGAAGACGGGGCAUGCAGCGGAGACUUUGAUUAUCCCUACAGUCGACAUAGCUAAAACUCCAGGUGGUUAAACCGAAUCACACAGAACAAGGGAGUACCUUGCUCUGAUACCAAUUGAAAGUGCUAGUUAUCGACUAGAGGGGGGUGAAUAGGCGAUUUCUAUGAACGUCUUCAAAACAUGGGAGUUUCGAAGACAAACAAUAGAAAUGAACCUAUUGACAUGCAGCGGAAGGUAUACUACACUAGGAAAGCCAUAGUCAAGUAUUCAAUGAAGUGAAAGCACGAAGACUAAUAGCAGCUAGGUAGUAACGAUCAGGAUGGAAGAUAGUAUGAAACCAAACAACAAUAGAAGCCACACAGUGAAGUCAAACAGGUAAUAGGGCAGGCAAUGACUUCAUGAAGAUAAACUGUAAAUAAAGAGAGGGAGAAGAUAGAACCAGUCACUUGAUGAAGACAAGGAUUUGUUGGACUAGUUCCAGUUGCUGUGACAACUGUACGUCUGGUUAGGGAGGCUGAGAUUUAACUCAGAAGACCAUGUCUUCACCUUAUUCCCCUUGAGCUAAGGACACCCAGUCCUCGCCCAAUCACUCUGGUAAGUCUUCAAGGUAGACUUCCAAACCUUCACAGACUUUGUUCACCGGCGAUCCACAAUGACUCUUGGAUGCUCAGAACGCGACGCCUAACCAGCUGGAGGAUUCACAGUCCUCAAGUGUAACAAGUCUUCAGGUCACGCGGACAGAAAUACUUCAGUGAUGCCUAACACUCUUUGGCUCUGGGUGUUUGGGCUUUGUCCUCGCAAGGAUUUCUCUCUCUCAGAAGCUUCGGAGGUGGGUUGCUCUCAAACGACAAAAGCCGUGCACUAACUCUGAGUAGCCACCAACUAUGGUGUAGGGGGUGGGCUAUUUAUAGCCACUAGGCAACCCGACCUGAUUUGUCUGAAAUGACCCUGGGUCACUAAGGAACUGACACGUGUUCCAAUGGUCAGAUUUCAAACACACGCGGCAGCUUGACUUGGGCUACAAGUAAAGCUGACUCAUCUAGCUGUGGAUAAAAUUUUCUCUCAUUGUCUUCACUCGAAGACAUAGGAUUGGUUGAGCAUCACUUUAGUCACUCUGACUUUGAUCACUUGGACCCCACUUAACAGUACGGUGGUUCCUAUGACUCAACAAAGAAGAAAAUGAAACUACGAAACAACUAUGUCUUCGCGCUCCAUGAUAAUCCCCAAGUGCAGGGAAUCAUCGUAGCAAUUUCCAAAGGUGGAAGUGAUAAGUAUGGAGUGUCGAACCCACAAGAAGCUAAAGGUAAGAUCAAUAUUCUCUCAAGCCCUAUCUGCCACUGAUACGACUCUACGUACACCGAGCGUUUGCUUCCAACUAGCAACGAGAAAUAAAACUAUGUUGUGGGUAUGAAGAGGAUAACUUUGUAUGAUAUCGGAGAGCUAAAAUAUAAAAGUAGGUGCUGUUAUCAUAAAGUUAGAAUAUAUACUAAAUAUUAUAAAUAGCGAGUGUGGAAUAAUGGUGGAUCGGUGUGCGGAAUUGUCCUAGGCAAUUGUUAACAAGACCGGUGAUCACUAUUGCAGUUUCAUAUGAGGGAGAGGCAUAAGCUAACACACUUUCUCUACUUGGAUCAUAUGCACUUAUGAUUGGAACUCUAGCAAGCAUCCGCAACUACUAAAGAUCAUUAAGGUAAAACCCAACCAUAGCAUUAAAGCAUCAAGUCCUCUUUAUUCCCAUACGCAACAACCCCCUUACUCGGGUUGGUGUUUCAGUCACUCACCAACCCACUAUAAGCGUAUCAUGAACGUAUUGCAACACCCUACAGCGGGAACCCCUCACGCUUGCGCGACACGGAGGGCACAAUAGGACAGCACCAAAAUAAAACAUACAACUCGUACCAAUCUAGAUCAUCAAUCAACCCAAAGAUAAAAGAUAUCUACUCAAAACAUCAUAGGAUGGCAACACAUCAUUGGAUCAUAAUAUGUGGCAUAAAGCACCAUGUUCAAGUAGGGAUUACAGCGGGGUGCGGGAGAGUGGACCGCGUAAAAGAGAUGAGGAUGGUGAUGAUGGUGGUGAUGUUGAUGAAGACGAUCACCGCGGCGAUCAUUCCCCUCUCAAUGGCACUCCGGUGCCACCAAGAGAGAGGAGGAGAGGUUCUCCCCCUUGUGCUUCCUCCUCCAUGGCCUCCCCCCUAGAUGGGGAAAGGUUCUCCCUCUGAUCCUUGGCCUUCAUGGCGAUGAUGGCCUCUCCGGGAUACUCCUCCAUGGCCACCGGUGAUGAUGGCCCCAUCCGGCAGGGUGCCGGAGAGGGCCUAGAUUGAUUUCUCGUGGCUACAGAGGCUUCUGGCGGAGAAACUCCCGAUCUAGGUUAAUUUUCCGAGGUUUCUGUAUUUAUAGGAAUUUUUGGCGUCGGUCUCACGUCAAGGAGGUGCCCGAGCUGUCCACGAGGCAGGCCCACACGCCCAGGGGGGUGGGCGCGCCCCCCACCCUCGUGCGCAGCUCGGGACUCUCUGGCCCAACUCCGAUGCUCUGUGGUCUUCUUUUGGUCCAUAAAAAAUCAUCAAAAAUUGGCACGUCAAUUGGAAUCCGUUUGGUAUUCCUUUUCUGCAAAACUCAAAAACAAGGAGAAAACAGAAACUGGCACUGGGCUCUAGGUUAAUAGGUUAUUCCCAAAAAUCAUAUAAAAUAGCAUAUAAAUGCAUAUAAAACAUCUAAGAUGGAUAAUAUAAUAGCAUGAAUACUUCAUAAAUUAUAGAUACGUUGGAGAUGUAUCAGCAUCCCCAAGCUUAAUUCCUGCUCGUCCUCGAGUAGGUAAAUGAUAAAAGAAAUAUUUUAUGAAGUGUGAAUGCUAGCAGGUGCACAAGUUUGAUCAAUGAUAAUUUCAGUCACCUUUUCUAGCAUCAUUAUAUAUCAUAAUAGUAGCUCAUCUCAUAAAACUUCUCAUGAUAAAGUAACAAGCUAUUCACAUGUUAAAGUAUAGAUCAUAAACUUUCUUGAAAACUAACAAACCGUGUUAUCAGUCAUCAAACAAUUACAAUUCAUCUUAUUUUCAGGAAGAGUCUAUGUCAGAGCUUUGAUUUAGCAAACUCCACAUACUCAACUAUCAUUUAGUCUUUCACAAUUGCUAACACUCACGCGAUAUUCAUGGGUUCAAAGUUUUAAUCAGACACAGAGAAAGAUAGGGUUUAUAGAUUCGCCUCCCAACCUUUUAUCUCAAGGGUAAUGUCAACAAUAAUAGUUCAUGAUGCCUUACACCCAAUUGGAUAUAUAUAUCAGAAUCUUUCCAACACAAUGUGCUUGCCAAAGGAUAAAAUGUAAAAAGGAAAGGUGAAAAGCACCAUUGCAUAAGGGUAAGAGAUAAAAGUAAAAGAUAGGCCCUUCGCAGAGGGAAGCAGAGGUUGCCAUGCGCUUUCAGGGUUGGAUGCACAAAAUCUUAAUGCGAAAGAACGUCACUUUAUAUUGCCACUUGUGAUAUGGAUCUUUAUUAUGCAGUCCGUCGCUUUUAUUUCUUCCACAUCACAAGAUCGCAUAAAGCUUAUUUCCUCCACACUAAUCAAUCAUACAUAUUUAGAGAGCAAUUUUUAUUGCUUGCACCGAUGACAACUUACUUGAAGGAUCUUACUCAAUCCAUAGGUAGGUAUGGUGGACUCUUAUGGCAAAACCGGGUUUAAGGGUAUUUGGAAGCACAAGUAGUAUCUCUACUUAGUGCAAAGAAUUUGGCUAGCAUGAGGGGGAAAGGCAAGCUCAACGUGUUGGGCGAUCCAUGACAAUAUACUUUAUUUCAGAUAUAAGAAAACAUAACCCAUUACGUUAUCUUCCUUGUCCAACAUCAACCUUUUAGCAUGGAAUAUUUUAAUGAGUGCUCACAAUUACAAAAGAUGUCCAAGAUAGUAUAUUUAUAUGUGAAAUCCCUCUUCCUUCAAUAUUCUUUCAUGAAUUGUUCAAGUGACCAAUUCUACGUUUGCUAACUUCCAAUAAGUUUACUACCUAUACUUAUUAUGUGUGAAGUCAUUACUCCCCAUGUUAUAAGCAUAUGAAACAUAUAUAAAUUCAGAUUUAUGACAUUCAAUUUAUCCAACCGUUUACUCAUAGGAUAUACGUGAAGCACAUGAGUAAAUGACAAACUACUCCAAAAUAUAUGAGUGAAGAACACUGAGUAGUCAAAUAAUUAACUAGCCAUGGGAGGAUUAUUUUUCAUUCAAUAUUUCAGAUCCAAUGAUUUUAUUCAAACAGAAAGUAAAAUUGAAAAUACGCUCCAAGCAAAACACAUAUCAUGUGGCGAAUAAAAAUAUAGCUCCGAGUAAGGUAUACCGAUAGUUUUGAAGACGAAAGAGGGGAUGCCUUCCGGGGCAUCCCCAAGCUUAGGUACUUGAGUCUUCCUUGAAUAUUACCUUGGGGUGCCUUGGGCAUACCCAAACUUAGGGUCUUUCCACUCCUUAUUCUCCUCAUAUCGAUAUAUCACCCAAAGCUUGAAAACUUCAAUCACACAAAACUUAACCAAACUUCGUGAGAUAGGUUAGUAUGAUAAAGAGUAAAACCAUUCACUUUGGUACUGUUAAGGACAAGUUUAAUAAUUGUUCUCACACAAUUCCUACUGUACCAUAUCAUUUCUACAAUUUAUAUUGAGAAAUAUAAGUCAUAGAAACUAGAAAACAAGCAAACUAUGCAAUGAAAACAGAAUCUGUCAUAAACAGAACAGUCUGUAAUGAUCUGAACAUAAACCAUACUUCUGCUACUCCAAAAAUUAUGAAAUAAAUUGGUGGACGUGAGUAAUUUGUCUAUUGAUCCUCUGAAAAAAGAAUCAACUAAAAAGCACUCUUCUGUAAAAAAUGACAGCUAAUCUCGUGAGCGCAAAGUUUCUGUUUUUUUUACAGCAAGAUCACAUUGACUUUCUCCCAAGUCUUCCCAAAGGUCUUACUUGGCACUUUAUUGAAACAAAAGCUAUAAAACAUGAUUAAUACAGUAUCUUAAUCAUGUAAACACACAAAAACAGUAAGGGUAAAUAUUUGGUUGUCUCCCAACUAGCGCUUUUCUUUAAUGCCUUUUAGCUAGGCAUGAUGAUUUCAAUGAUGCUCACAUAAAAGAUAAUAAUUGAAACAUAAAGAGAGCAUCAUGAAGAAUAUGACUAGCACAUUUAAAUCUAACACACUUCCUAUGCCUAGGGAUUUUGUGAGCAUACAACUUAUGGGAACAAGAAUCAACAAGCAUAGGAAGGCAAAACAAGUAUAACUUCAAAACUUUAAGCACAUAGAGAGGAAACUUGAUAUUAUUGCAACUCCUACAAGCAUAUAUUCCUCCCUCAUAAUAAUUUUCAGUAGCAUCAUGGAUAGAAACUUUGUUCUCAUACUCAAUUGGAACCUCUUCCAAAAUAGUGGAAUCAUUACUAGCUAAAGUUGACACUCUUCCAAAUCCACUUUCAUAAAUAUCACACUAAGAUUCAACACCCUCCAAAAUAGUGGGAUCACUAAUUCCUAAAGUUGACACUCUUACAAACCCACUUUAAAUUAUAGUAUUAUUCAUACUCCAAAAGAUAUAAGUUAAGUUCAUGGAGCAUUCUACAAUUAAUAUAGACUAACCAAUAUCCAAGCUCAAAAUGUAUAAGUGAAGCACAUGAAGCAUUCUAUAAAACCAUACUCAAAAGAUUUAAGUGAAGCACAAAGAGCAAUUCUAUAAGAUCGUACUUAAAAGAUUUAAGUGAAGCACAUGAAGUAUUCUAUAAAUCAAUGAAGGGCUAUCUCAUGCUAGCAUGGUUCUUAAAGGAAAAACAAAAACACAAAGAUACAAAUCAUGUGAACAAAGCAAAAACCGAGGUAUACCGAUAUUUGUUGAAGAAGAAAGAUGGGAUGCCAACCGGGGCAUCCCCAAGCUUAGAUGCUUGAGUAUCAUUUGAAAUAUUUACUUGGGGUGCCUAGGGCAUCCCCAAUCUUGAACUCUUGCCUCUCUUUAUUCUUCUCAUAUUGAUAGCUCCUCGAUCUUCGGACAGUUCAUCCACACAAAACUUUAACAAAAACUUGUGAGAUCCGUUAGUGUAAUAAAGCAAAUCACUACCUUUAGGUACUGUAAUGAACCCAUUCUUUAUUUAUAUUGGUGUUAAACCUACUGUAUUCCAACUUCUCUAUGGUUCAUACCCCCCGAUACUAGCCAUAGAUUCAUCGAAAUAAGCAAACAACACACGCAAAACAGGAUCUGUUAAAAACAGAACAGUCUGUAGUAAUAUGGAAGUUUGGUAAACUUCUGUAACUCCUAAAAUUAUGAAAUACAUUUGAAAAUUUGAACAAUUUGUACAGAAGUAAUGUGCAAAAAGUUUCAGACCCAUUUGACCUUCCAGUAAAAAAUGUAAAAUCACGCACUACAGCCAAAGUUUCUGUUUUUGUUCUGCACAUAUUAAACAAGCAAUCUAAUCAUCCUAAAACCAAAGCUUGGCACAUUAUUUUUAUAAUACAAUGGAUAUAUACAAGGGGAUAAUUAUUUACAGAGAAACUUCCAUGAAAAAUUCUACAUUGUUUCCGUGAGCAUGAACACAAGUGCUCAAGGUCGACCCUCACUUCUUCAAUGCAUAACUUUCCAAUCACUUCUCUUUUUUGAAAAAAAUUUAGGCAUGAAAGGCAAGUAAAUUUUUUUUUUGUAUUUUCAUUCUUUUAAAUUUUUUGUAUGUUUCACCCACAACUAAACAUAAACAAAAAGGAAAAAAAACAAAAUCUACUUAGUGAAGAAAGCAAACAAGCACACGCGAGAAUAUCAACCCCACGCUAUUGCUCCCCGGCAACGGCGCCAAAAAAGAGCUUGAUAAUCCCCAAGUGCAGGGAAUCAUCGUAGCAAUUUCCAAAGGUGGAAGUGAUAAGUAUGGAGUGUUGAACCCACAAGGAGCUAAAGGUAAGAUCAAUAUUCUCUCAAGCCCUAUCUGCCACUGAUACGACUCUACGUACACUGAGCGUUUGCUUCCAACUAGCAAUGAGAAAUAAAACUAUGUUGUGGGUAUGAAGAGGAUAACUUUGUAUGAUAUCGGAGAGCUAAAAUAUAAAAGUAGGUGCUGUUAUCAUAAAGUUAGAAUAUAUUACUAAAUAUUAUAAAUAGCGAGUGUGGAAUAAUGGUGGAUCGGUGUGUGGAAUUGCCCUAGGCAAUUGUUAACAAGACCGGUGAUCACUAGUGCAGUUUCAUAUGAGGGAGAGGCAUAAGCUAACAUACUUUCUCUACUUGGAUCAUAUGCACUUAUGAUUGGAACUAUAGCAAGCAUCCGCAACUACUAAAGAUCAUUAAGGUAAAACCCAACCAUAGCAUUAAAGCAUCAAGUCCUCUUUAUUCCCAUACCCAACAACCCCCUUACUCGGGUUUGUGUUUCAGUCACUCACCAACCCACUAUAAGCGAAUCAUGAACGUAUUGCAACACCCUACAGCGGGAACCCCUCACGCUUGCGCGACAUGGAGGGCACAAUAGGACAACACCAAAAUAAAACAUACAAAUCGUAUCAAUCUAGAUCAUCAAUCAACCCAAAGACAAAAGAUAUCUACUCAAAACAUCAUAGGAUGGCAACACAUCAUUGGAUCAUAAUAUGUGGCAUAAAGCACCAUGUUCAAGUAGGGAUUACAGCGGGGUGCGGGAGAGUGGACCGCGUAAAAGAGAUGAGGAUGGUGAUGAUGGUGGUGAUGUUGAUGAAGACGAUCACCGCGGCGAUGAUUCCCCUCUCAAUGGCACUCCGGUGCCACCAAGAGAGAGUAGGAGAGGUUCUCCCCCUUGUGCUUCCUCCUCCAUGACCUCCCCCCUAGAUGUGGAAAGGUUCUCCCUAACAUACUUUCUCUACUUGGAUCAUAUGCACUUAUGAUUGGAACUAUAGCAAGCAUCCGCAACUACUAAAGAUCAUUAAGGUAAAACCCAACCAUAGCAUUAAAGCAUCAAGUCCUCUUUAUUCCCAUACCCAACAACCCCCUUACUCGGGUUUGUGUUUCAGUCACUCACCAACCCACUAUAAGCGAAUCAUGAACGUAUUGCAACACCCUACAGCGGGAACCCCUCACGCUUGCGCGACAUGGAGGGCACAAUAGGACAACACCAAAAUAAAACAUACAAAUCGUAUCAAUCUAGAUCAUCAAUCAACCCAAAGACAAAAGAUAUCUACUCAAAACAUCAUAGGAUGGCAACACAUCAUUGGAUCAUAAUAUGUGGCAUAAAGCACCAUGUUCAAGUAGGGAUUACAGCGGGGUGCGGGAGAGUGGACCGCGUAAAAGAGAUGAGGAUGGUGAUGAUGGUGGUGAUGUUGAUGAAGACGAUCACCGCGGCGAUGAUUCCCCUCUCAAUGGCACUCCGGUGCCACCAAGAGAGAGUAGGAGAGGUUCUCCCCCUUGUGCUUCCUCCUCCAUGACCUCCCCCCUAGAUGUGGAAAGGUUCUCCCUCUGAUCCUUGGCCUUCAUGGCGAUGAUGGCCUCUCCGGGAUACUCCUCCAUGGCCACCGGUGAUGAUGGCCCCCUCCGGCAGGGUGCCGGAGAGGGCCUAGAUUGAUUUCUCGUGGCUACAGAGGCUUCUGGCGGCGGAACUCCCGAUCUAGGUUAAUUUUCCGAGGUUUCUGUAUUUAUAGGAAUUUUUGGCGUCGGUCUCACGUCAAGGAGGUGCCCGAGCUGUCCACGAGGCAGGCCCACGCGCCCAGGGGGGUGGGCGCGCCCCCCACCCUCGUGGGCAGCUCGGGACUCUUCUGGCCCAACUCCAAUGCUCCGUGGUCUUCUUUUGGUCCAUAAAAAAUCAUCAAAAAUUGGCACGUCAAUUGGAAUCCGUUUGGUAUUCCUUUUCUGCAAAACUCAAAAACAAGGAGAAAACAGAAACUGGCACUGGGCUCUAGGUUAAUAGGUUAGUCCCAAAAAUCAUAUAAAAUAGCAUAUAAAUGCAUAUAAAACAUCUAAGAAGGAUAAUAUAAUAGCAUGAAUACUUCAUAAAUUAUAGAUACGUUGGAGACGUAUCACUCCAAAGUCUUCAUGUGAUGUCUUCUCAUGUCAUAGUCUUCAAUGUGAAUAUCGUCACAUACCACCAUUGUCUUCAAUGUCUUCAUACAUUUUUAGGGGUCAUCUCCGGUAGGUAAACCGAAUCAAUGAGGGACUACUACCUGUGUUAUCCUGCAAUUCUCACAAUCACAUUAGUCCCUCAACAAGGUUUGUCGUCAAUACUCCAAAACCAACUAGGGGUGGCACUAGAUGCACUUACAGGUACAUGCCAUAGGGACGGACCCACGCGGCCUGGGAAUGAUGCAGCCCGAGGGGCGCUCCCAGCUAAAUAAACUUGGAAAAUGUCACCUGGUUCUGUCGAUGAAGGGAUGUCGGGGCAGCUGAAGGUACGCGGUGAAGGGGUUGCUCCUCACGAGCCACCGGGGCCCUGAGCCUCAGGAGGCUCUAGGGGUCCAGGCGGUUCCUUGAGGACCGUCUCCAUCUCCAUCAGGAUGGCGUGAUGCCUGGCCUCCUGAGCUGCCAUGGUGCGCUGCAAGCUGCGCUGAUAGGCGGACGACACGCUCGGCAGGCCAAAAGGCAUGUGAACGUAGCUGUGCGGUGGGCCUUUGCAGCGUCCCACGCGCGAAGGCCAGAAGAGCUCCUGAGAUGCGGCCCUAUUGAGCCCUGGGACGUCGAUGCAGACGCGCAGCCCAGCAUCCUCGCCUGGAUGGGGAGUUGCGCCUCGCGAGCGGCGGUCGCCGUGCAUGGCCCUUGCGUCUUGCAGUUCUUGAGUGGUCCUGGUGAUGAACUCCUGAGCGGUGGGCGCUCCUCGCCCUGUGUUCUCCUAAGGGAAACGUGCCGUGAAACACGCCUCCAAGUGGUGCCCGAGCGCCUCCCUCGUGAUGUUGGCAAGGUCUGAGGCCCUCCAGAAGAGAGCCCUCGAUCCCUGCCCGAGAAGGGCGCCGGGCGCGCCUUCCUAUGCAAUGGAGGGAGGCGCCCCUGGCGCGGGUGCUGAUCCUGACGAGGUUCCAGUCGCGACGCCACCCUCUUGAGGUCCUGCACGGCGCAGCUGCUUCUUCUUCUUGGGGGUGGCCUCAGGAGGGCACUCGCCCUUGCUAUCGGGGUCGUCGAUUGCUGCAGCUUGGAAGGCACGCUCAAGGGACCACACCGCAUCUCUUUCUUCGCAUGGGACCAUGAUGAUUCCGCCGCUUCCCGGCAUCUUGAGGACAUUGUAGCCGUGACGGGUCACCGCCAUGAACUUGGCCAGGGCUGGAUACCCGAGGAUGGCAUUGUACGGCAGACGGAUGUGCGCGACGUCGAAGUCGAUGAGUUCGGUGCGGUAGUUUUGCGUUCUCCGAAAGUGACGGGAAGGCGGACCUGCCCGAUCGGGGUAGUGGAGACGUCGGUCACUCCUGAGAAAGGCUUGGUGGGCUGAAGCUGGUCAUACGGCACUUGGAGGUUGUCGAACGUGUCGACGGACAGGACGUUGAGCCCUGCACCGCCGUCGAUGAGGGUCUUGGUGACUUGCAUGUUGCUGAUGACUGGGGAGCAAAGCAUCGGGAGGGUGCCUGCGGUAGCAGCGCACUUGAGUUGAUCUGCCGAACUAAAGGUGAUGGCGCACUUGGACCACCUGAGCGGGCGUGUGGCCUCGAGCUUGGGGAGGACUGCAUUCACUUCACGAGCAAACUGUCUGAAGAUACGCUGCGAGGCUGGGGCCUAAGCUUCUCCCAAGAUGCAGGCGAUAGCACGCGGCUCCUAGAAGCCCCCAGCCCCCUCAUCUUGAUGGUGGUCGUCGUUCCUUCUUGCCGGCGGAGGUAGUGGGGGAAGACCGGCGUUGCCCUGAGGACGAUCCUCGCGAGGCUGGUCCCUCCAGGCGCCCUCGCGAGGCUGAUCCUGCCAGCAGUCCUCACGAGGCCGGUCGCGCCACUCCUGGCGCGGGCCACGGUCGUCCCAGCGUCCGCCACCACGUCCUCCUCCUUGGUCAUAGCCCCGGUCGUUGCGCUCGGGGUGUCGACCGAAGCGUCCUUCUCAAAUGGCUCUGAGCUCUUGACAGUCGCUGGUGUUGUGGGUAUGCAGGUUAUGGAAAGCGCAGAACGGUCGGCUGCUCUUGGAUGACUCGGGCUGGUCUCUGCCGCGCUUGGUGUCCGGCUCUGCCGCGAGCACGGCUGCUCCCUUGCGCUUCACGUCCUUGGCCUUGGCUUUCUUCUCCUCCGGGUCCGCAGCCGGGAGCUCAAGGAGGGAGAGGCGCCCCUCCUCAGCUCUUGCGCACUUGGUCGCCAGGUUGAACAGCUCCAGGGACGUGCAUAGCUCCUCCUUCAUCUUGACGUCACGGACGCCAUCGGAGAACGCGGAGAUGAUGGCCUCGUCCAUCACCUUGGGGAUCUUGAGACGAAUGUUGUUGAAGCGAUGGAUGUACUUCUAGAGGGUCUCUCCUGGUUGUUGCUUGACACGAUGCAGGUCACCCGCGGCCGGUGGGCGGUCGUGAGUGCCCUGGAAGUUGGCGACGAAGCGGUCGCGCAUCUCGUCCCAGGAGGAGAUCGAGCCUGGAGGCAGGUUCAGGAGCCACGAACGAGCGCCGUCUUUGAGCGUCAUGGGGAACCAGUUCGCCAUGACCUUCUCGUCGCCGUUGGCUGCCUCGAUGCUCAGCUCGUAGAGCUGCAGGAACACCGCGGGGUCGGGGGUGCCGUCGUAGCGAGGAGGCAGAUCCGGCUUGAACUUGCCCGGCCAGGCGAUGCUACGCAGCUCGGGAGUGAAGGCGCGGCAGUCGGCCGUGGUCACUGGGGCCCGUCUUGGAGGUGGAGCUUGGUCUUGGCGCCCGCGCGCCGCUACAACAAGCGGCGUGGGGCCUUGCCGCAGAAAACGAUCUUGGCGCGGCGGUGCGAGGAGUGGCGGAGCGUUCUCUUGCGUUCGAGGGACUUCUUGACAGCUUCUUUCUUCACGCGCGGGCGCCGGACGCGGUGGGUCGCGCCGUGGAGCCGCGCGCUAGGGCGCCGUCUUGGUGCAGAGGUGGUGGAGGUGCUCCGUGAGCUACGUCGCCCGUAGCUGGCGGAGGGCGAGGCAGUGAGAGGGACGGCACAGGGGAGCCCCCUGCGGCGCUGACAAGCUCGGCGAUGCGGUCGAGCCAGUCCUCGUAGAGGUCGUCAACCGAGCGGUAGCGCAGGAGCUCGUGCGCCAUGAGGAGUGUGGCCCGUGCGUCCGUGGGAGCGCGACGAGCGUGAGAUGAUGAACCAGCGGGAGUCAUCGAUGGAGUGGCGGUGCGGCCAUCCUGUCGCACCGAGGGGUGCAACGAGGACGCUUGCUGCUCAUUCCCCACCGGGCCGGUGGCGGCGUUGGUGGCAGGCGACUGAUACGUCUCCGUCGUAUCUAUAAUUUUUGAUUGUUCCAUGCCAAUAUUAUACAACUUUCAUAUACUUUUUGGCAACUUUUUAAACUAUUUUUGGGACUAACAUAUUGAUCCAGUGCCCAGUGCCAGUUCCUGUUUGUUGCAUGUUUUAUGUUUCGCAGAACCCCAUAUCAAACAGAAUCCAAACGGGAUAAAAAUGGACGGAGAAUAUUUUUGGAAUAUUUGGAGAAUUCCGGAAGAAGAAUCAACGCGAGACGGUGCCCGAGGUGGCCACGAGGCAGGGGGCGCGCCUGCCCCCCUGGGCGCGCCCCUGACCCUCGUGGGCCACCCGUAAGGUGGUUGAUGCCCUUCUUCGGCCGCAAGAAAGCUAUUUUUUGGAAAAAACAUCACGGCGAAGGUUUCAGUCCAAUCGGAGUUAUGGAUCUCCAUAUAUAUACGAAACGGUGAAAGAGCACGAGGGCGAGAACGCAGAAACAGAGAGAGAUAGAGAGACAGAUCCAAUCUCGGAGGGGCUCUUGCCCCUCCCACGCCAUGGAGACCAAGGACCAGAGGGGAAACCCUUCUCCCAUCUAGGGAGGAGGUCAAGGAAGAAGAAGAAGGGGGGCUCUCUCCCCCUUCUCUUCCGGUGGGGCCGGAACGCUGCCGUGGCCAUCAUCAUCACCGCAAUCGUCACCAACAACUUCACCGCCAUCAUCACCAACUCUUCCCCCCUCUAUGCAGCGGUGUAACCUCUCUCUUACCCGCUGUAAUCUCUACUUAAACAUGGUGCUCAACGCUAUAUAUUAUUUCCCAAUGAUGUAUGGCUAUCCUAUGAUGUUUGAGUAGAUCCGUUUUGUCCUAUGGGUUAAUUGAUGAUCGUGAUUGGUUUGAGUUGCAUGUUUUAUUAUUGAUGCUGUCAUAUGGUGCUCUCCGUGUCGCGCAAGCGUGAGGGAUUCCCGCUGUAGGGUUUGCAAUAUGUUCAUGAUUUGCUUAUGGUGGGUGGCGUGAGUGACAGAAGCACAGACCCGAGUAAGUAGGUUGUUUGCGUAUGGGAUAAAGAGGACUUGAUGCUUUAAUGCUAUGGUUGGGUUUUACCUUAAUGAUCUUUAGUAGUUACGGAUGCUUGCUAGAGUUCCAAUCAUAAGUGCAUAUGAUCCAAGUAGAGAAAGUAUGUUAGCUUAUGCCUCUCCCUCAAAUAAAAUUGCAAUAAUGAUUACCGGUCUAGUUAUCGAUUGCCUAGGGACAAAUAACUUUCUCGUGACAAAAAGCUCUCUACUAAAACUAACUUAGUUGUGUCUUAAUCUAAACAGCCCCUAGUCUUUAUUUACGUGCUCUUUAUAUUCUUGCAAACCUUUCCAAAAACACCUACAAAGUACUUCUAGUUUCAUACUUGUUCUAGGUAAAGCGAACGUCAAGCGUGCGUAGAGUUGUAUUGGUGGUCGAUAGAACUUGAGGGAAUAUUUGGUCUACCUUUAGCUCCUCGUUGGGUUCGACACUCUUACUUAUCAAAAGAGGCUACAACUGAUCCCCUAUACUUGUGGGUUAUCAGCGACGGAGAACGACGGGAUGGCCCGCCGACAGGCGCCGUCUGAGCAAUGCGGGUGGCGAGGGCAGCCCGGCGCUCGGCGCGGGCGUGGCGUGCGUCCGCCAUGGAGACGAUGAAGCGACGGAAGGGAAGCUUCGGCGCACCCCUACCUGGCGCGCCAAAUGUCGGAUCACGGGUUCCGGCAAAACCCUUAAGGUUCGAACUCUGGGGUGCGCGCGAAGUUCUCCUCCUACCGAUCCACGUCCUAGCUUGCUAAGAUCUCGAGGGUUAACUCCACGAACUCACGACACAAGAGACACAAGAUUUAUACUGGUUCAGGCCACCGUUGUGGUGUAAUACCCUACUCCAGUGUGGUGGUGGUGGAUUGCCUCUUGGGCUACGAUGAACAGUACAAGGGGAAGAACAGCCUCCUGAGGUUGAGGUGUUCUUAUGCUUGGUGUGCGGCUAAGGCUCAGCUAAAGAUCAGAUGCCCCCUACGGUGGUGGCUAGUCCUACUUAUAUAGGCCCUGGUCCUCUCCCCAAAUAUUGAGCGGGAAGGGAGCCAACCACGGCCAAUUUGAAAGGGGACAACUAGUACAGCUUAUCCUGACAAAAGCGGUCUUCGCCUGCAAAAGGCUCUUGUGGUGACGCCGCCUUGGGCUCCAUGGUGACCUCCGUCUUGCCGUCCUGCUGGUCUUGGUAUCGUUGCACCGAUAUGGAAACCUUUCCAUGACGCCUCGGUACUCCGUGCCUGCGCUUGCUUCCUUAGCACCAAAGGGGAAACAAGGACACUGCGCGCGCUGGCGCCCGCCUGGCGCCUGCCUGAUCUCGAUCGUCAUGGCUCACAUUAUGAGAACCUCGCAAGGUUUGCCUUGCCUUGAUCUCUCCGCCCCUCACGAGCCAACCUGGUGAGGCCGCUCCUGAGGAGGUCUUGUGUCGUCCGCCUCGCGAGACUUGGCCCCUCGCGAGGGUCUUGAAUGCUUGUUGGUGAAGAUGGGCCGUACAGGUCCACACGCAGAGCCACGCCGUGGGCCGCAGGCAGGCAAGUCUGGGGACCCCCGUUCCCAGAACGCCGACAGAGUAUUCUUCAUCAACCUUGUUGCCUCCAUGAUGAUGUGUGAGUAGUUCUAUCAUGACCUAUGGGUCUGUAGUAGCUAGAUGACUCUCUCUCUCUAUGGCCCUGUUUGGUUCGGCUGUGGAUUUCUAAAAGCAGCUGUGAAAAAUCUGUUGUGGAAAAAUAGCUGUAGAAAAUCUGAUGUGAAAAAUAUGUAGGUCAUUUGGCAAACCAGCUGAUACAGCUUUUUCAGAUUUUGGCCCGCGGCGGAAUCAGAUUUUGGAAAGCACGUCCUGGGCUGCUUUCGCUUUUGGUUCAGAUUUUGGCAGCGGAUUUCUGGAAUCGGAUUCUGCUGGGUUCGCCCUUUGGUUCAGAUUCUGCUGCGCGGCAGCGGAAUCCGUCGAUAAAAGCUGAACCAAACAUGGCCUCAAUACCAUGUUCCCGUGAGCUUUCUCACAUCAUCAAGAUCAAUUCGAUGUAAUCGGCGGUGUGUUUGUUGGGACAUGAUGAAUUGUCACUUUAUGACCAGAUUGUUCAUUGAAAUCAGUUGAAUCUUUUGAGCUUUUACUUGUUGUAUAAUUAAAUAGCUUUGCAUGCUCUCCGAUCUAUAUAUCUUUUUUGGUCAAGUUCGAUGGGUUUUUCUUUAGAGGGAGUGGUACUUUGUAGUGGAUUUAAUCUUGUGGUGAUCUAGCCCAUGCCGUUGCUCUAGCACUCCAAUCGCCGCCCAGGCCUUGCCGGACACCCACCUUAGACUACACCACCGUCCACUCCAGAUUCGUCCGUAGCCAGGUAUCCUCUGCCCCUGGCGACACUGUCCAUGGCGGACACCACACCCGGCAAGUUUUUGGCCAAAUGUCAAUGAGAUUUUUUAUGUUAUUGUUGUUUACUUUCAAGCAAGCACAAUGGCUGCGUACUUGAUGAGGGAGGAUGAGUUGUUGUGGCGAUGCUUGGUUGGCUAGAAGUGUAGACUUUGUAGGCCUGGAGCAAGAGGGCAUGAUAUUUGGGGGAAAUGUGCAUUCUUGGUUUAUGAGCAAAAACAGUUUGUGCCCUACAACUUGCACAUGAUUCGUGAGUGCAAUCUGAAAUCGCUAACCCAUCGAUGGUACACCAUCUCAAACUCCUUAUGAAGUAUUGCAGUGCGAUCGCAUAGAUGGAAAGUGGGUGACCAUCAGGAUCGUCAGACAUCGAGAUCGUAAGUUCUCUUCUAGUUGCUCUACAUGUUGGUCAGUUUAAUUAAUAUUUUUCUGAGAAAAACUUUCAAUCUAUUCAUCAACUAUCAAGGUAGUACAAAGAACACUAGAAAUAAAGAUUACAUCCAGGUCCGCCGACCACCUAGCGACGACUACAAGCAUUGGAGCGAGCCGAAGGCGCGUCGCCGUCAUCGCCUCUCCCUCACCGGAGCCAGGCAAACCUUGUUGCAGUAGACAGUCGAAGAGUCGUCGUGCUAAGGCUCAAUAGGACCAACGCACUAGAACAUCAACUGCCGCCAAUGGAGAGAAGCAUAGAUUAGAAGGAUCUAACCUGUAGACACACGAACAAAGACCGAAUCCAGGUGGAUCCACCUAAGACAAACGCCGACCGAAUCCCGUAAGAUCCGUCGGAAACACAUCUCCACACGCCCUUCGAUGGUGCUAAACGCGUCGCCAAAACAGGGGCUAGGCGGGGAGAACCUUUUUCUAUUUUCAGAAAGUCGCCGCCUCCUCGUCUUCCCAAGCAGGACACAAUCCCUAAACAAACACACACAAAACCUAAAAACGGAGCAAGAGCCCUUCCGCCGGCAAGGACUCGCCUCGUCUCCAUGGCCUUAAGGCCACAAACGGCGAGGUAGAUCGGCGGUGCCACCGACGGGAGGCGAGCAAACCCAAGUCUCCCUCACAAGAAGCAGAGGAGGAGGGGUACGUUGGUCAAUUUAUUAGUUCACUCAAUGUCAUAACUUGGUGUUCAUAUUAUUAUAUAGCUCGGACGCGCUAUCGUGCUAUACCAAACAACGGAGUGGUGGGCCAUUCAUAUUAAUGCACUGUUGGAUGAAGUUUAAGGGGCACAAUGUCUGGAUGAACAACACUUUGUCGUGGGAUUAUUUCGGGCGUAAUAUUUAUUUUGAAUUAUGGAUGAGCAACACUUGGCUCAAGGCGCACUAGAAUAUUUGCAUGCUAUUCAUGGAUUAUUUUUGUGGUAUUCUUUAUGGUUUUGAGUGGUUCGAAGAUAGAAAAAUACAUAAGCGAACUCGUAUUGGGUGGCCGACUCCUGUAUGUUGUGUCAGUAUAAACGUAUCCGGACGCUUAUGUAGAUGAUUUACUGUGUCCGAUUAAGAUACGAUGAGUUUUUUUUUUUCUUCUUGCCAAGGCAGCAAACCGAUCAGAAUCACAAUUCACAGAUGACAAGACAUAGAGACAGACGGGCCGGGCCUAUAUACAACGGAGAGCGACCGACGAAGAAGAAGCGGAUCGAUCGAGUCGGCGAGAGCGAUGGCGGCGCUCCGGCACGCGGCGAAGGGCUCUGCGAGCGUGCGCUCCAACAGCGAGGAGCGCAGGCGAGCUCUUCGGUCGUGGCGGAGGAACCUCGGCGGCUCUUGCUAAACGGCGCUUCCCCUGGCCGCCGGCUCAUGUCCACCUCCUCCAUCAGUCGCAAGGUACUUCUUUUCUCCUACCUUCGAUCCCUCUCCCUCCCAGAUCCGGCGGGUUUGCCGUCGGAGACCUCCGAGGGUACGGCUGCCCUCUCAAGCAGUAGCAGCGCUGCCGGCGUGGGGACCAGAUUAGGGUUGUUGCCGAUUCGUCCCCAAAAAUCUUUGGCAAAUCUUGGGACCUGACGACUUGGGCCAAAGAAAUUAAAUAAAAAAUCUUCGAUUGCCGGCGAUCAGGAGUCACUUGCAGCCAUUGAUUGAUUGCUCUUGAGAUCCGGCGAUCGAUUGCCGGUGAUUAAGACCUCAACCUUGUGUGAGAAGUUAAGAAUGAUGAUAGCAUUUUGCAAGUUAUAAGGCCAUGCAUAAACAUAUGUUGAUUAGUUCUGAGGACAAGGAUAUAUAAAUCGAUAUUGUAAUGUCAAAUUUUCUUUCAGCAAACCAGUAAUUAUAUGACAGACACAAUUCUGUGAAGGAAACUAUGCUAAUUAAUAUUAAUUUAAUCAUGUUGUGUAUUUUGUGGCCAGCCAACAUCUAGUGCCGAGCUGGAAUUGCUGGAAAUGCGAUUCAAGAAGACGAAGGAAGAGUUGUUUGAUUUGCUCGUAGCAGUGAAAAGGGCAGAACUUUACCCACAGUUUUUUUUAAAGCAAAGCAAAGCUUUAUAGAUUAACGGUGUGCAGGCAAAUCGCCCAACACACGAGCAGCCACUAAGGGCGGUACAUCAUUCUCCCAAUGCAUACAUAUAUCAGGUAAACACAUACGGCCAAUUUGGCCCAGCUCAUGUGCUACAUUGUUCUCACUCCUUUUGCAUGCUCGCACACUAUGUUUUGCAAACCAGAGCUUUAACUGUAGCUUGAUAUCUUCAAGGAUGACAGCAUACGGCGAGGAGUCAGUCUUGUGAACGUCGAGCGCCUCUACCAGCAACUGACUGUCAGUCUCAAAAGUAGCCCGGACUACGCCGAUAUCAGCUGCAAGGGCGAUCGCUCCAGCCAUGGCCCGAACUUCCGCUCCAAAGGCAUCUGUAGUCUGCUCCUGUCGUCCUGCACGGGCCGCAAUAACUUGCCCUUCGGAGCCGCGAACCACAGCGCCCCACCCACAGAAGUUGCUACCCGGCACAAAGGCUCCGUCGAUGUUAAUUUUGAGCUCAUCUGGAGAUGGUGGCCGCCAUUUCCCCUCUUGUAAUUCCUUCUUCUUAGGCACAAAUCUGUCUGCAUACUCCAUGGCACUACAUCUCACCCUUCGGAUAGUUUCAGUGAUCUCCGGCGCCAACUCUCCUUCCCUGAUCUUGUUCCUAAUGUUCCACCACUGCCACCAGAGUGUGAUGAUUAGCACUCUUUUAGUUUCAGAGAAAUCCCACAGGGCGUCCAGCAUGUCAUGCACACUGGUGAAUGCCUCCAACUUACUUCUUUCCUCCUCCAACCCCAGCUCCCUCCAAGCUUGCUUGACAUGCUUACAUUUUAUGAACAAGUGCGCCCCAUCUUCAUCAGCUCUACCACAGAAAAAGCAUUUUGACUGAUCUAGCUUGAGGCCCCUCCUCAUCAAGUUUGCACAUACAGCCAGCGAUUCAUGGCGCAUUCUCCAUACAAACAUCUGAAGCUUCCGAGGACACGGCACUUUCCAUAUCCUUUUCCAAGAUUGAUCGGUCACCGCAUCCAGAUUGCCCCCACGUGCUGAGCUCGCUCCCGGUGCCCCAUUCUGUUGUUGCUUGUGGAGUUCAACAUGCAGCUUAUAGGCGCUUUUUAGCGAGUGGUUACCUCUACUAUCAAAAUGCCAAGCAAUGAAAUCGUCUACACCUUGCCUUAGGGGAAUUUGCAGGAUCUGUCGGGCAUCUACUUCACAGAAAGUGUCUCGCACUAGUUCUUCAUCCCACCGUCCGGUUACCGGGCUUAUAAGCUCAUCGACCCUAGUCAGCAGGCUCGGCCCCCUUGGUGUAAUGACUCGCCUCGACCAGGCCCUUGGCAGCCACGGGUCAUUCCAAAUAUUCACUGAAACUCCAUCCCCAAUUCGCCAAAUAUAACCUUGCUUGACCAGAUCGAGCCCAUGUAAGAUGCUACGCCAAGCAUAUGAGAUGCCAUCAUGAGCUACUGCUUCGAGCGCAGUACUAUUCGUAAAGUACCGGGCCUUUAGGAUUCUAGCACACAAACUGUCUGGGUUUUGGAUCAAUCUCCAUCCCUGCCUCGAUGGCAUAGCUAUAUUGAAGCUGCGCAUCUCUCGGAACCCUAAACCUUUCCUCCUAGAGCGGCCAACAUGUACCGGGAGCCCGAGGUACUUCUCAUUCCAGUUUUCACUCCGUAUGUUAAGUGUGUUCUUGAUGCUAUCCUUAACUCCGUCCUCCGUAUUGGGACUAAACAUGAGGGCUGAUUUCUCUACAUUGAUACACUGGCCCGAACAUUCCUCAUACAGCUUGAGUAUGUCACGUAGUGCCUCGGCUUCCUGUUGCUUCGCUUUCAUCAAUAACAUGGAGUCGUCCGCAAAAAACAGAUGGGAUACACAUGGUGCUCUCGGGCAUUACCUUGAUCCCACUGAUCCUCCCUCUCUGCUCCGCAUCGUUGAGCAGGGCAGACAGACCCUCAGCACAUAUCACAAACAGGUAAGGUGAUGCCGGAUCCCCCUGGCGCAGUCCUCUCGAUGGGCAAAACUGAUGUGUCAACUCCCCGUUCACUUUAACCUGAUACCGGACUGUCCUGACACACUUCAUGAUUAGGUCAACCCACUCCCUCCUAAAACCCAUCCUGCACAUCAUCGCCUCGAGGAAGCACCAUUCUACCCGAUCGUAUGCUUUGCUCAUGUCAGCCUUCACCGCCGUGUACCCAUCCUUCCCUGACCUCUUAUUCAUGACAUAGUGAGAAAGCUCGUAUGCGAUUAGCACAUUAUCCGUUAUCAAUCUUCCCGGAACAAAUGUGCUUUGGUUGUCAGAAAUAAGCGAUGGAAGGAUCAUUUUCAGCCUAUUGGCUAUCACUUUAGAGACUAGCUUGUAGAGAACAUUGCAUAGACUGAUCGGCCGGAGAUCCUUUAUUCUCUGUGGGUUCUUUACCUUGGGGAUGAGGACCACAUGGGUAUCAUUCCACCCCUCGGGCAUGUCUCCUCCAUUAAGCACUCGCAGCACCUCCUCCACAAUCUGAUCCCCCAUGAAAUGCCAGUGUCUUUUGAACACAAUCGAUGGCAUGCCAUCCGGUCCCGGGGCCUUCAAGUCUCCAAUGUGAUCUAGUGCCGCUUUUACCUCCUCGCGAGUGAAAUCAGCCAAUAAGACAUUGUUCAUGGCCUCAGUAACCCAUGGCUGCACUUUUUCAAGUAGUUCCGGCAACCGUUGAGGAUUAGAUGAAGCUGAGAAUAGUUCCUGAAAAAACGAACAAACAUAGUUAGUCAUCUCCUCUCCUGCCUCCACCACCGACCCGUCCUCCUUCCUCAACUCCUUUAUUCUGUUUGUUUUCUUCCUUGCCGAGGCUACGGACUCCAGAUAUUUUAUGUUCCUAUUGUCAUCCUUUAGCCACCACAUAUGGGCCCUUUGUUUCAGCUGAGUAUGCUUCUUCUCCUCCAGCUCCUCAACUAGACACCGUAGCCUUGCUUCUUCAUUAAUUUUAUGCUCCGUCACUGCCGUCCUCAUGCAACCUUCUAGCUCCUUUUUCACCCUUUUUAACCUGCCUUCCAGCUCCCCGACUACAUCUUUGCUCCAUGUAGAGAUAUCUCCCGCCACCUUUUGAAGUGCAACAGCCACUGUAGCAUCCCCCAUUUCCCUGCUCCUCUCCCAGGCUGCACGUACAACCUCCUCACACCCUUCCUCCUGCAGCCACCGCGCUUCAAACCGAAAUCUCCCAUCCCCUCUCCUCCAUUCCUUAUCAGGGCCUUCCGUAUCAACAAUAAUUGGCCGAUGGUCUGAGUGUCUAGGAGGGCCAUUAACCACUGUAUAAGCCGGGAACUGCUCGCACCAUUCCUCAUUCGAGGUGGCCCUGUCCAAUCUCUCACAAAUAUAUGUUCUUAGUUCCUUACUAUGGUUCCUCCAAGUGAAAAUGUCCCCCUCGAAGCCAAUAUCACCCAGUUCGCAGAUUUGUAGUGCCUCCCUGAAGCCAUCCAGGUAGUGUUGUGGCCGGGCUGCCCCUCCUGCUUUCUCCAAACUUGUCAAGAUCUCGUUAAAGUCACCAAGGCAAAGCCAAGGCCUUCCACCCUGGUGUUGCUGUUUCAGGAGACGCAUCAUUCGCCAUGUCUCCUUCUUCCUGUCCAUCUCCGACUCGCCAUAAACUCUAGUAAGCCUCCAGACCAAUCCAUCAUCCCUCCUUACAUCAACGUCAAUGUGCCUUCUCCCGAACGAUCUCAACGUAACAUCCACCUCCUUUCUCCAAAACACUGCCACUCCUCUAGUUGUUUGAUUUACUCGUAGCAGUGAAAAGGGCAGAACUUUACCCACAGUUGUCCUGGGAAGACAUCCAAACUCAUCGGCUGAUCACUCACCUUGCUGCUCAAGUGGAGCCUAGGCCUCAUGACCCCAAUUGGUAUAAAUCUGAAACCUAUCAUAUAUAACUAUGCUCUGUUUUCGCCUUUUCUUGUCUGAGAGCCUUUUCUGCUCUUGUCACCCCGCAGGCGCAUGUUUGGACGAACAAGAAGACUCAACGAUUUUAACACUAUAACCGUUACUCUGGGAUAUUUUGGUCUGUUUGCCUACUGCGUGGCAACUAACAUGAGAGAAGAUGGCGCUACAAGCAAGAAUAGUGAAGCCAAUUUCGUCUCCGAGCCAGAGAACAAUAUGAACUAGCUUUAUAUCAGAAGUCUAGAUGGUCUAUGAUACGAACUACCCCCUCCGUUCCUAAACAAGUGUCGUUUCAAAUAUGAACUAGCUUUAUAUUAGAAGUCUAGAAAGUCUCCUGAGCAUAUGCAAUUAGUAAUAUGACAUCUAGUUGUCGUUGUAGGUUUUGCUGGAUGCUGGCAACGGUAAUGGAAUCAGCCUGAAGUUUGAGUGGUGGUGCAAGUCCUUUUAAAUUAACUUUUUAUGUGACGAAAGAGAACAGAAAAUCCAGCGAUAUCUUUAGGUAACUUGUCGUGUUUAUUUCUUGUGAGCAGAAAACCUCAGGGUGGUCCCUCUUGAACUAAGCUACCAAGCAUGUCUAUAUAUUGUCAUGCCUGUUUAUUAUAUGGAAACAUGUGAGCUUUGUUCAAAUGUUGAAACCUUCUGAAAUUUGAUUUCUCUGCUUGUUGUAUCAUCCUAAAUCCCUUCUGGUAUCUUAGUUGUUACGUGGAAUAAAACUUUUCCAUCACUAGAACAUAUUAACUCCAAAAUGUCGGUUAUCUUACAUGUAAUUGGCUAUAGAUCAAGUAUCAUCGAAUUCUUGCCAUGGUUUCUGCAGUCCAUCUUUGUGUGACAAGUCUUGCCUUCCAUGCCAGAUGAACAUUUUUUGCGAGCAGGUAUACUUCAUGCAGUCCUCCGGAGCGAUGUUAGCUUGGGAUGAAACAUCACACCACACAUAACUUUCGAUAAAAACAUAACUUCCAAAAUAUAACCACAGAAAUCACAAGAACAAAUAUAACCACGGAGCGAUGUUAGCUUGGGAUAAAGAAUUCAUAACUUCAGGUUAUCCUUUUGGCAAUAAGAGUCUUGCAAAACCCUUGGCAUCACAAGAACAAAUAUAGGUUGCAGGAAGACACUAAAAUAAAACAUAACCACUACGCAUGUAUAUUUCCUUCAGAAGUGCAUCAACAUAGCUAUGAACUAGAGGGUGUUAACUUCACUUCAUAUUUUGUCCAUGUUGGACACACCCCAAAGCUACAGAAUUUUAACUGAUAUCAAAAGUACAGACUUCACAUAAGACACCACUGCUUCCUUUUCUGGAAAUAGAUAAAUGGUAACAACAACAACUUCAGUCCCAAACAAGUUGGGGCUAGCUAGAGUUGAAACCCAUAAGAAAUCGAAAUCAAGUCAUGGUUCCGCCACGUGGAUAGCUUAGUAGAUAAAUGGUAAGCUAAAGGGUAAAAUUGCAUGAACAUAGCUGUAAGCAUAUAAGUUACUUAUGCCGUCAAAGAUGAAUGGGAUUUGAACAAUUGCUAUCAAAAGUACAGAUUUCGCAGACAGCACUACUGCUUCCUUUAUAUUGGACAAAAAGGGUGAUAGUACCCAGAACAGCUAGAGGACUAAACUAAAGGGACAAUUAUGCAAACUAGGACACCCCUUGAACUAGAACAUGCAACAAUGACAGUACAGAGAAGAAACUGGAAAUGACUCGUGCACAAUGCCCUUUCAGAAAAUAGAUUCACAACCAAUUGGAGAAAAUAUAACAUGCAACACCUCCGGCCAUCCAAUAUAUUUACAGUGAUUUUUCUGCAGUGAUGUUGUCGGUCCAGAAUUAAGUUUCGAGUGUACUUGCUCGAUACAGCGGGAACGGCAUCAAGUCAGCUUCUCAAGUUCUUAACAAUGCAUGUAUGCGUUAAGCAAUCGGCAGAACUUAGUGAACUUACAUUUUUUUUACCACUCAUAUUGAUCAAAUUGACCUGCACAACUAAAACCAAAAUGGUAGAUCGCAUGAAAGCUCGAGUGGAUAAAACUCAUGAGGUCAAUACUGAAAGUACAAAUUGGAGCAUAAUUCAGUACCACAGGUAGAAAUAUUUUGGCAAAGAUAAAGCAGGGUGUCCCAGCAAACCUACAAAGGAAAGAAAAUGUUGAAUGAUUGUAUUAUACAAGAAAAGUAACAAUUUAUAGAAGGAACAUUAAGCAAAUGUGUACCUUCACAUGGUUCUCUCUCUCCACUAAGUUGUGCAGGACUUCACAUGUGCGGGUGGUGACUGGUGACACUGAAAAAAAAUGUUGGGAUAACACAAACUAGUUCUAGCUCCCACCAACUGAUUACACAACAGAUAUAUGUGACUGGAACACAAAUACCUCGACAAUGAAUCAGACUGCAGAGCAGAGAACAUACAGAGAAGCAGUGAAAUAAAAAUCCAAACCUAGAGAACGGAACUAUGCAACUCAUAUAACUGAUUUUUUAGCCUCCAUUGUUUCUGUCCUAAAAAAUUAGAUAUUGUUCAAACAGCAGUGAGCAUGACAGACCAUAUGGUGUGCACCAGAACCUAGCUUAACUCAAUUGUGAAGCCAAGAAAAAAUUGAUGAAGUUCUAAAGGAGUGCAGCUUCAUAGUAGUAAAUAAUGUAGCCAGUACCAGAUUGAGCCAAGGACCUGGUAGGCUGCUAAGUCCAUCUCCCAGUCAAGUUCUAGAGUUUGAGACACAGAUGCAUAUGUUACACAUGAGCACAGUCCCAGUAGCCUCUAUUCUCAAAGCAUAAAUAACAAUAUGCAGCAAUGAAAUAUGCUCAACAUCUUCUGCCGUCUGAGACUGUCUAUCUAAGAAUGAUCAACAUUGUAGCAUCAUUUAUUUAUAGUAUGACAAUAGCAAUACAAUAGCAUUACAGACAGCCAAAACAGAGUAGAACCGGGUUCAGGACUGCAUUACGGCCAUUUCCAUUUCCCCAAUUUCCCAGUGGUUGGUUUAGGGUCCAGAGUACAGUUUUCAUUACAAUCACAAUCUAAGCCUGAUAGUAUCAUAUAAAAGGAUUCAACAAGUUAGCAAAAUAACAAUCAAAGUGUGGCAGAAAAACAACGUAGAGUGAGCAAGACACGACGCACAGAACCAACCGGAACAAUAGCAACAUGAUAGCAUUAGAACCGGAUUCAGGACUGCAUUACAGCCAUUUCCGUUUCCCCAAUCUCACACCGGUUGGUUUAGGGCCUAGAGUACAGCUUACCAUAAUCGCAAUCUUAGCCUGGGCUGCAAGAUUCCACAAGCUAGCAAGGCAACAACGAAAGAGAGGCAGUAAGAGAUAACUCGAGAGUGAACACUGCUGCUUAUUAUUAUUAUCAUGGUGACUUGAGGAUUUCAUCAGAGUACAACAAACUCAUGCAACAAAGAUUUGCAGCCAACGACAGUUUUAACCAACCAUACACGAUUAAGGCACAAGGAUCCGCAGAUGCUGCGAGCAAACAGGGUACAAACGCAUGGCAAUCGUGGUGGCGCCGGCGUCCCAUCCCGGUGGCGGGGGCGGGAUCCGGCGGCGCCUCUCCUACUACUUCUUGCCGUCCUUGCCCUUGGCGUCCGUGGAGGUGCUCCCGGAGGCCUGCGCCGCCUUCUUGGCGUUCUUCUCCUCCAGCGCCUUCUUGUCCCUGCGGAUCGGCG
Molecule: long non-coding RNA, 43052 nt
Filed under: Triticum aestivum (bread wheat)
Lineage: Eukaryota; Viridiplantae; Streptophyta; Magnoliopsida; Poales; Poaceae
Description: long non-coding RNA (TAES_LNC019845)
Source: RNAcentral